Molecule: long non-coding RNA, 429 nt
Organism: Centropristis striata (black sea bass)
Lineage: Eukaryota; Metazoa; Chordata; Actinopteri; Perciformes; Serranidae
Exons: 3
Source: RefSeq, a predicted model, not a curated record
UGUGGAUUAAUCGUGUUUUGUGGCCACCUCCCCCAUGUUAAACUGCCUCAAAUAGUACUUCAAGCCGGCAGUAAAGCCUACUACCUGUCCACUCUGACAGCCGUUGUCAAGGAGCUACGACGCCUGUGUGUUUUGUCCCAGGAUGUACUUGCAUGAGCAACUGAUCCAUUUGAUGUUACGCUUCCCAGAUGAUAAACAGACAAGAAGCCGCGAUAAAACACAUCAGAGAUUCUUCCUUAUCUGAUGCAAGGGUCAAAGGACAGAGGGUGUUCUAUGCUGUACAGACUGUGAAGCUAAGCACAUUUGUUAUUUUGAACUGCAUAAAUACAAUUCAAUUGCAGUCAGAGUUAAGCCCCGUCCAGACCUGAAUAACCUUUUGUUUAGUGACCAUAAAGGUCUGUUUUUAUUGUGUUUUUGUUAAAUCUGACC